Corticium candelabrum is the source of this 684-nucleotide RNA transcript. RefSeq lists it as uncharacterized. NCBI's taxonomy places the organism in Eukaryota, Metazoa, Porifera, Homoscleromorpha, Homosclerophorida, Plakinidae. The transcript is spliced from 5 exons. The record is from RefSeq and is a predicted model, not a curated record.
UUGUAUGGAUUCUCUGUGUAUAAAGUCUGCUCCUGUGAUGGAACCAGAAUGUAGUGAAGGGCUGUCUCCAACAAGUAUAUUUCAUUAUUAUUCAAAGAGAGCCAUUCCUACAAAAGGACCGGAUGUGCUGUUGCAGUGUCAUGGAAUAACGUGGGAACUCCACAAGCCGUACAUUCGGAAGUUCCACACAUUGUCUGGUCUCUUACAGCAUGCUGUUAUCUCAGCAACUGCAUGAAGUUCUUGCCAGGGCACUCGGUUUGCUGUAUGAAGACCAGUUUACUGUGUCACCUGAAGAGGUGGUUUCUGUAUUGGCAGCUGCGUCACUUCUUUUGUAUCCUGAACUGCAAAAAGAAUGCUGUGAAGUGAUGUUAAGAUUCAUCAAUGCGAGGACAGUCUCAAUGUACUACUUGGCAUCUACCAAGGUAAAAUGAUGUUAUGAACAUUAGCACAAGUGCAAACUUUUAUGGAUUACAACUGACAUCAUGCAGUCGACUCUUGACCAACAAUAAGUUGUGUGGGAUGUAAUCACGGCUGCAAUACGAACAGAAGUUAGUGACACUGAAAGUCAUUCUGAUCACGGAAUGGCUCAGCUAUCAGGUAUGAUUGUCUAACAAGUAUUGAUAUAAUAAUAGUUGGGUGUGUUGGGUAAUACGCGAGUUAACAAUGUAGUGUAUUGAUGUGAUU